Long non-coding RNA from Hordeum vulgare subsp. vulgare (domesticated barley), 1606 nucleotides. RefSeq lists it as uncharacterized. NCBI's taxonomy places the organism in Eukaryota, Viridiplantae, Streptophyta, Magnoliopsida, Poales, Poaceae. The record is from RefSeq and is a predicted model, not a curated record. The transcript has 2 exons.
GGGGGGGGGCUGCUCUAUAUGAUUGCCCUAGGGACUGGAGGUAUUAAACCAUGCGUGUCAUCCUUUGGGGCUGAUCGGUUUGAUGACAGUGAUCCGACAGAGAGAGUAAAGCAGAGUUCCUUCUUCAAUUGGUUCUAUUUCUGCAUAAAUAUCGGUGCAUUCAUAUCCGGCACUGUUAUUGUUUGGAUACAAGAUAACUCGGGUUGGGGAAUAGGAUUUUCCAUUCCUACUGUAUUUAUGGCAUUGCCUAUUGCAAGCUUCUUUUCAGCUUCAGAUAUGUAUAGAUUUCAGAAACCUGGUGGGAGUCCACUUACAAGAGUGUGCCAGGUCGUUGUCGCAGCAUUCCGUAAGUGGCAUGUUGAACUGCCACAUGACACUGCUCUUUUGUAUGUAGUUGAUGGUCAAAAUUCAGCAAUAGAGGGAAGCGGAAAGCUAGAGCACACAAGUGAACUUGAGUAAUUAUCUUCCUUAUACUGCAUCAUUGCCUUAAUUUUAUGUUAAUGUAUUAAUACAACAACAGAAGGUACUUGCGAUGUUAAUGAACACACUGAAUUGGACACAACCUUCAGUAAGGCUUAUUUUUGGACGCAUGGCUUCAUUCCUUCAUUCCUUCAUUUACCAUACGCAAAUCUUGGUCUUCAAUUUGUUUGGUUUCCUAUGAUUGACCGGAGAUUGUGAUGCUAUGUAAGCCUACAUCGUAGAGUGAAUCAGAUAUGUGCUAAGGAUAAUGCAACCAAUCCAACUGUUAACUUUGGUGUGCUUUUUGGAUGGACUAAUAUGAAGACGAUGGCUAGCUCGCAUUGCCAUUGUAUAGUCUAGAAGCAAGGGCAAGGAUUAUAGGGAAAACAAAGGUACAAUGCUCACAAUAUAUUUUACCUUUUUGGCUAAGUUUUGGUGCUUGCGCAAGAAAAUAACACCAUCAUUAUACCUACUGCUCAUUUUUUAUUCAGGCAAUUAGCCAUCAGUAGGAAAUGCCAACUAAUUGUACUUUCUUUGUUACAGAGGUGAAAUUACUACUACUUUUUGAAAGCUUUUUUUGUUGCAUGUUCCGCUUUCUUAAUCUUCUGUUUGUUUAAAUGUACAUACAUGUGCUUACACAAUGAAUCUCAUCAUGCUAUCAUUUCCUGAAUAAGCUAAGGAUAUAUGUUUUCAAAGCCUCUGUUACGAGUGAAAUGCAGAAAUGGAAGCAAGGAGUCACGGCUUACUUCUAUUCGGAUUCCAUCUCUACUAGGACAAUCCUGAUAUCCUUCUCACCAUUUAUAUUUGAUUCCUUGGAGAUUCAUAAAGAAGGUCUAUGCAAAAUAUCCGAAUUUCAAACAGACCCACACUUGAGGUUUUUUGUUGCAUUUUCUGUAUCUUAUUCUUCUGGAGGGUGGAUAUAGAACACAGGUUGAAUUUCACCGUACAAAAGAGCGUUUACAUGCUUCAGCACGCCGGAUUAAGCUGUCAAGCCCUGUAUGUGAGGAUGGGGAAACAUCAAAGAACCAUGUAGCCGAUCUGGCCAUUGAAUGCAUGGAAACCAGCGAGUAGAAGGUGCUUGUUGACUAUAACUAUUAUCAGAUAGAGCAACAGAAAAAUGCAUGUGCAAGGGUAGCUGUUAGAAAAA